GAUGAAGAACGCAGCGAAUUGCGAUACGUAAUGUGAAUUGCAGAAUUCAGUGAAUCAUCGAGUCUUUGAACGCACAUUGCGCCCCCUGGUAUUCCGGGGGGCAUGCCUGUCCGAGCGUCAUUGCUGCCCUCAAGCACGGCUUGUGUGUUGGGCCUCCGUCCUCCUCCCGGGGGACGGGCCCGAAAGGCAGCGGCGGCACCGCGUCCGGUCCUCGAGCGUAUGGGGCUUCGUCACCCGCUCUUGUAGGCCCGGCCGGCGCUUGCCGACACAUCAAUCUUUUUUCCAGGUUGACCUCGGAUCAGGUAGGGAUACCCGCUGAACUUAAGCAUAUCAAUAAGCGGAGGA
This 345-nucleotide unclassified non-coding RNA is filed under the name soil metagenome. Its description in RNAcentral is "partial contains 5.8S ribosomal RNA, internal transcribed spacer 2, and large subunit ribosomal RNA". The stretch from base 1 to 120 matches the Rfam family "5.8S ribosomal RNA", at positions 35 to 154 of the family's 154-position model. The record is from RNAcentral.